RNAcentral lists this ribosomal RNA (237 nucleotides) under uncultured bacterium. RNAcentral describes it as "partial 16S ribosomal RNA". It matches the Rfam family "Bacterial small subunit ribosomal RNA", at positions 15 to 235 of the family's 1533-position model. The record is from RNAcentral.
GAUCCUGGCUCAGGAUGAACGCUGGCGGCGUGCUUAACACAUGCAAGUCGAACGGGAAAUAUUUCAUUGGGACUUCGGUGGAUUUGAUCUAUUUCUAGUGGCGGACGGGUGAGUAACGCGUGGGUAACCUGCCUUAUACAGGGGGAUAACAGUCAGAAAUGGCUGCUAAUACCGCAUAAGCGCACAGAGCUGCAUGGCUCAGUGUGAAAAACUCCGGUGGUAUAAGAUGGACCCGCG